RNAcentral lists this transfer RNA (72 nucleotides) under Mus musculus (house mouse). Its description in RNAcentral is "tRNA-Ala". Lineage: Eukaryota; Metazoa; Chordata; Mammalia; Rodentia; Muridae. The record is from RNAcentral.
UAGGAUGUGGCUCAGUGGUAGGAUGUUUGCCCAGCAUUUGCAGCACCCUGGGUUCCAGCCCCAGCACCUUAA